This 135-nucleotide small nucleolar RNA is filed under the name Pelobates cultripes (western spadefoot toad). The record is from RNAcentral. Lineage: Eukaryota; Metazoa; Chordata; Amphibia; Anura; Pelobatidae.
CCUCUUCUAAAAAGCACUUGCAAUGUCUGCUCAGUGGCACGGUGAGUUGUCGUGGAAGAGGAAAAUAAAACAUUGCUUUUGGGUGAAGGGGCAGCUUACAUGUGCUGUUUAACUUCAAUCAGUGAUGUUACAUUU